UACGGGGGGGGCAAGCGUUGUUCGGAAUUACUGGGCGUAAAGGGCUCGUAGGUGGCCAACUAAGUCAGACGUGAAAUCCCUCGGCUUAACCGGGGAACUGCGUCUGAUACUGGAUGGCUGGAGAUUGGGAGAGGGAUGCGGAAUUCCAGGUGUAGCGGUGAAAUGCGUAGAUAUCUGGAGGAACACCGGUGGCGAAGGCGGCAUCCUGGACCAACACUGACGCUGAGGAGCGAAAGCCAGGGGAGCAAACGGG
Molecule: ribosomal RNA, 253 nt
Filed under: uncultured bacterium
Lineage: Bacteria
Description: partial 16S ribosomal RNA
Rfam family: Bacterial small subunit ribosomal RNA
Source: RNAcentral